GAAGCUUGGGAAAUCAAGCUUGAACACUUGAAUAUCAAUGGAGGAAAUGGGGACCAAGGGUGGCGGCACAAUGGAAAGAAAAGAAGAAGAUGGAGAGAAAAGGUUGGUGGGUUUUGUCAUCUUAUGGUAUAUAUAUAUUCUAUUUGUGUACUUUAAUUUUUUUAAUUUUUCAUAAGCCAUUUUUCUUUUCUUUUCCUUUCUUUU
RNAcentral lists this unclassified non-coding RNA (204 nucleotides) under Hevea brasiliensis (rubber tree). Lineage: Eukaryota; Viridiplantae; Streptophyta; Magnoliopsida; Malpighiales; Euphorbiaceae. The record is from RNAcentral.